CCUACGGGAGGCAGCAGUGAGGAAUAUUGGUCAAUGGACGAGAGUCUGAACCAGCCAAGUAGCGUGAAGGAUGACUGCCCUAUGGGUUGUAAACUUCUUUUAUAUGGGAAUAAAACGUUCCACGUGUGGGAUUUUGUAUGUACCAUAUGAAUAAGGAUCGGCUAACUCCGUGCCAGCAGCCGCGGUAAUACGGAGGAUCCGAGCGUUAUCCGGAUUUAUUGGGUUUAACGGGAGCGUAGGUGGAUUGUUAAGUCAGUUGUGAAAGUUUGCGGCUCAACCGUAAAAUUGCAGUUGAAACUGGCAGUCUUGAGUACAGUAGAGGUGGGCGGAAUUCGUGGUGUAGCGGUGAAAUGCUUAGAGAUCACGAAGAACUCCGAUUGCGAAGGCAGUUCACUGGACUGCAACUGACACUGAGGCUCGAAAGUGUGGGUAUCAAACAGGAUUAGAUACCCGAGUAGUC
RNAcentral lists this ribosomal RNA (460 nucleotides) under uncultured bacterium. RNAcentral's name for it is "partial 16S ribosomal RNA". It matches the Rfam family "Bacterial small subunit ribosomal RNA", at positions 338 to 795 of the family's 1533-position model. The record is from RNAcentral.